This 2189-nucleotide small RNA is filed under the name Malus domestica (apple). RNAcentral's name for it is "sRNA MD12G0168600". The record is from RNAcentral. Lineage: Eukaryota; Viridiplantae; Streptophyta; Magnoliopsida; Rosales; Rosaceae.
GUUCGUUGGCGUCGCAUUGCUCUCCUUCUCAUCUUCCCUGAAAACCCACCGCGAUUUUCUUUCAAUCAUUUCCUCUUCGAUUUCCGUUUGUUUUCUGGUAGCAACUGUGUUUUGGUUUAAGGAUUCAAUGGUGGAACUGUGUAAUACGAGAACAUUAGCUUUUCGGUUUGGGAUGUUGGGUUUGUGUCAUCAUUAACAUGAGAUUCGACCUUAUGGCGACGCUGUUUCCAAAAUACCCCAAGGGUUAAUUGUCGUGGUUGACAGCAAUGAUUGGGACCGUGUUGUUGAGGAGAGGAAUGAGAUGCACAGGAUGUUGAUGGAGACACAUGUAUUGCUAAUUAAUGGUAGAUUCAAAAACCAAUCAAGGAAAAAAAACCACAAUACUUUCUAAAGACCGGACCAGGUUGGAUUGACCGAACUGGGUGAAACAGGUCAAACAGGGUCGGAUAGGAAUGUUUGUUUCAAAAUUAUACAUAUACUAAAACUUGCCACAAAAUCACGGUUCAUUAACAGUGAAUGGACUAAGGUGCCCUCUAAUUUUUUUUUGUUAUUAGCUGUUUUUCACUUUUCACAUAGCAAAAAAAUCGUUUUGACCUCCAGCCUACGAGUUAUCAUCACUUCAUUUUCUCAUUCGACAAAACACUUUUUACAUGUAUUUCGGAUUGGUAUUAUGAAUAUGGGGGAAUAAUUUGUUUUUUUGAUGAAGACUAUAACAUAAUGCUACUGAUUCGUAACAUAACUCUUCAAGUUACAUUAUUUAUACAAGGAAUACUAGAAUGGUUUAAAAGCGAAGUAUUGUUGUAGGUUAAUUUAUAUUUGAAUACAUUAUUUUUCUUGAUAAAUACUAUGAUAGAAUGCCACUGAUUCGUAACAUAAGGUUGAUAUCAUUUAUACAAGGAAUACCAGAAUGGUUCAAAAGUAGAGCAGUAUAUUAAUUUAUAUUUGAAUGCAUAACAAACAUGAUAUGUAUUUAAAUAUAAAUUAACCUACAGUAAUACUUUGUUUUUAAACAAUUCUAGUAUUCUUUGUAUGAAUGAUCCGCAACCUGGCAACCUGGAAAGUCAUGUUAUGAAUCAGUGGCAUUUUGUCAUAAUCUUCAUCAAGAAAAAUAAUGCAUUCAAAUAUAAAUUAACCUACAAUAAUACUUCGCUUUUAAAUCAUUCCGGUAUUCCUUGUAUGAAUGAUUCGCAACCUGGAGAGUCAUGUUACAAAUAAGUGGCAUUCUAUCAUAGUCUUCAUAAAAAAAAAAAAAUUCCCUUAUAUUCAUAAAAACAUACAUGUUAGUACAUAUUCAAAAUACAGGCAAAUAGUGUUUUGUCGAAUGAGGUGAAGCGAUGAUGACUCGUAGGCUAGGGAGGUCAAAACGAUCUUUUUGCCAUGUGAAAAGGGAAAAAAUAGCUGAUAACAAAAGAAUUAGAGGGCACAUUCCUGUUCGAUCUUUUUAUGUUAAGUUUUAGUAUAUGUAUAAUUUUGGAAUGCAUAUUCUUGUCCGACCUGGUCUGGUCUCACCCAAUUUGGCCGGUCUGAUAUGCUUUGUCUGGUCUAACCCUUUUUGUUUGGUUCGACCAGCUUUGUGCGUCUGGUUGUCUCGAUUCGAUCGGCUCGACCCGGUCCUGUUUGACUUGGUUCGUCCGUCUAAUCAGAUCCGAUUGGGCUUGACCUAAUUCGACUGCCCAAUCUGGUUCGGCUCGACUUGUUCUAAGUGGUUAACCAAUUCCGGCUCGACUCGACUUAGUCUAGGUGGCUUACCAUUCUGGUCUUAUCUGACCCGAUCCAGUUGGCUUAACAGUUUUGGUUUGACCUGACCAGAUCCAGUUAUGGUCCGACUCGACCAAAUCUAGUUGGCCUACCAGUUCAUGUCCGGUCCGACCCAUUCCAGUUAGCCUACCAGUUCCUAUCUUCUCCGACCCAAUCCAGUUAGCUAAUUAGUCAUGGUCCAGUCCAGAUCCCUUUCCUGUUCGACCUAACCCGUCUCUUUAGUUGGGUUUGAUCGGUUCGAUCUUUUUAGUUGAAUAACACGGAGCUAACUAACUUAACAACUUCAUGAAAUUGGGCUGAAAAGUUUUGAUCGCCCGUUCAAAUUUCAUUUUGUAACCUCUCAUACAUAUUUCAUAUUGUUUGUGGUGUCAACCAACAAGAUCUUACCAUCAACCUUGUACUCGUUGAUGGAUCAAAUUCAUACGGUACUU